UUCCAGACUCCUACGGGAGGCAGCAGUGGGGAAUAUUGCACAAUGGGGGAAACCCUGAUGCAGCGACGCCGCGUGAGUGAAGAAGUAUUUCGGUAUGUAAAGCUCUAUCAGCAGGGAAGAAAAUGACGGUACCUGAUUAAGAAGCCCCGGCUAACUACGUGCCAGCAGCCGCGGUAAUACGUAGGGGGCAAGCGUUAUCCGGAUUUACUGGGUGUAAAGGGAGCGUAGACGGUGAUGCAAGUCAGAAGUGAAAGCCCGGGGCUCAACUCCGGGACUGCUUUUGAAACUGUGUAACUGGAGUGCAGGAGAGGUAAGCGGAAUUCCUGGUGUAGCGGUGAAAUGCGUAGAUAUCAGGAGGAACACCAGUGGCGAAGGCGGCUUACUGGACUGUAACUGACGUUGAGGCUCGAAAGCGUGGGGAGCAAACAGGAUUAGAUACCCGUGUA
This 446-nucleotide ribosomal RNA is filed under the name uncultured bacterium. RNAcentral describes it as "bacterial SSU rRNA". It matches the Rfam family "Bacterial small subunit ribosomal RNA", at positions 329 to 792 of the family's 1533-position model. The record is from RNAcentral.